GAUGAACGCUGACAGAAUGCUUAACACAUGCAAGUCAACUUGAACUUCGGUUUGGGUGGCGGACGGGUGAGUAACGCGUAAAGAACUUGCCUCACAGAUAGGGGCAACAUUUGGAAACGAAUGCUAAUACCUGAUAUUAUGAUUAUAUGGCAUCGUAUAAUUAUGAAAGCUAUAUGCGCUGUGAGAGAGCUUUGCGUCCCAUUAGCUAGUUGGAGAGGUAACGGCUCACCAAGGCGAUGAUGGGUAGCCGGCCUGAGAGGGUGAUCGGCCACAAGGGGACUGAGACACGGCCCUUACUCCUACGGGAGGCAGCAGUGGGGAAUAUUGGACAAUGGACCAAGAGUCUGAUCCAGCAAUUCUGUGUGCACGAUGAAGUUUUUCGGAAUGUAAAGUGCUUUCAGUUGGGAAGAAAAAAAUGACGGUACCAACAGAAGAAGUGACGGCUAAAUACGUG
Molecule: ribosomal RNA, 454 nt
Filed under: uncultured bacterium
Lineage: Bacteria
Description: partial 16S ribosomal RNA
Rfam family: Bacterial small subunit ribosomal RNA
Source: RNAcentral